Molecule: long non-coding RNA, 313 nt
Organism: Suricata suricatta (meerkat)
Lineage: Eukaryota; Metazoa; Chordata; Mammalia; Carnivora; Herpestidae
Exons: 3
Source: RefSeq, a predicted model, not a curated record
CCAAGACUGGAGGAGAGGGGAAGGGGAAGCUGACUCUUGGUGUGAGGCAUGGCAAGGGCCCACGGGGUGGAGAGGAUGGAUGGUGCCCAUCUCCGGAGACGGUCUAUCACACUCACAGCAGCAAAGAGCCGGAAGGAGACUCCAGAGCAGCUGUGACUUCUCCACUCUUACUCUGCUCCCACCGGCUCUUGCAGCUGAAUGCAGUGGCCUGAUAAAGAGAGUGGCAGCACUGAAGGAGCUCAAGCUACCUGCCAGUGAGGAACACUCUUUUGGAUUUGGAGAGAGACAGAGCAUGAGAGGGGGAGGGACAGAG